GACGAACGCUGGCGGCGUGCUUAACACAUGCAAGUCGAGCGAUGAAGCACCUUCGGGUGUGAAUUAGCGGCGAACGGGUGAGGAACACGUGAAGAAUCUGCCUUCAACUCUGGGAUAACUCCGGGAAACCGGGGCUAAUACCGGAUAUGAGCCUUGAUCGCAUGAUCGGGGCUGGAAAGUCUUUCGGUUGAAGAUGACUUCGCGGCCUAUCAGCUUGUUGGUGAGGUAAUGGCUCACCAAGGCGACGACGGGUAGCCGGCCUGAGAGGGCGACCGGCCACACUGGGACUGAGACACGGCCCAGACUCCUACGGGAGGCAGCAGUGGGGAAUAUUGGGCAAUGGAGGAAACUCUGACCCAGCGACGCCGGGUGAGGGAUGAAGGCCUUCGGGUUGUAAACCUCUUUCAGUAGGGAAGAAGCGAAAGUGACGGUACCUACAGAAGAAGCACCGGCUAACUAUGUGCCAGCAGCCGCCGUAA
Molecule: ribosomal RNA, 479 nt
Filed under: uncultured bacterium
Lineage: Bacteria
Description: partial 16S ribosomal RNA
Rfam family: Bacterial small subunit ribosomal RNA
Source: RNAcentral